UUCUGUUGUUGCUCUCUUUGGAAAAAAAAAAAGUUGUGUGGCACCGUGAAACUCGCCUGGACAGGAUUCUGGCAAGUUGGAAGUUGGCUGAUCCGUUACUUGGCCUGGAGCCGUGAAGACGCAGCAGCCACACGCAUGUCACCUGUGUGACUGACAGCAGAAUUGAUGGCACGAGCUGACUGUUGUCACAGAACCGGAUGGCCCUGCUGACAGCCCAUUGACUGAAGAGAUUCAGUUGACAAUGCCAAAGCCAGAAGAAACAUCUAAACCAAAGAAAACGCCACGAGUGUCAAGAGUGAUGACUAUCUUACCCAGACCUUCACCCACAGAAAACCUCGGGGAAAGGAGUGCUCCACCAACCACACAAGUGAACUCGAACUUUCCAAAAGGAAGGAUUGUGACCCCUGUUGCAGCUGCGCCAGACAGCGGUGGAGGUAGUGUCUCCGAGGCAUUAUCAAACAGCUUUGCGCCAGUGGUUCCUGUAAAACUAUGGCGUAACCCAUAUGCAUCAGUCAGGGAUGUGCCCCCAGCGCCAAUGAUUCGUGUGAAUAAGCCUAGUACAUUGCAACACCCACUGGGUCAGUUGGAGGCAAACUUAGGCAGGCCAUCCACGCUGCUUGUGAAUAACGAGAGUAGCAUGCACUCCACUGCUGGCAGGAAUGAUGACACUAUUCUCGUUGUCAAGAAGAUGCAGAACGGCAGGACUGUGAUAACAGCACAACCGGCGAAAUCCGGCAGCAAGGGGCCAAGCUGUGGCGACAUGUCCCAGGAAUGUUCGCCUUGUCACGUAGGUGGAGCCUUGACUAAAGUGACAGCAAGCACCGUCAAGCUGACAACACCUGUAAAUAAUUUUGUGAAGAUCACUGCAAAUGCUCCAAAAAUGGCGGUCACAGAGUCACACCUGUCCGCUGCAGCUAUCCCAACUGUGAAGUCACAAGGGAGCUCAAGAGAGAGCAGCAGUCAAACAACCGGGAAAGUGGCUAAAUGCUCGACCUCAGUACAAAGCAGGCAUUCUCCUGCAGUCGUCCGCAUAACACCGAUGCAAGGCUCCACUAUGGGCAAGACACUUGUGGUUCCAUCUCAAGGAACAACGAUGCCCAUCAGUCCUGCUAUGAGCAGAAGCGAUGUUUCACCCACUGCCUCUAGCAAGCCAGUGGAUGUGGGGAGGCCUGCAGGGAAGCAGGAAAGAGUUGCUGGAGGGGUGCAGGAUGUAAACGAAAUGACACAGGCCAUUGGGUUUGCAUCUGGACAACAGCAAGAUGAGGAUGGCUGCGGCAUUAAGAUUUCAGACGUCAUCAGCUUGGCUGGAAAAGAAGGCCUGACUUUUCCUGAACUAGCUGUCCCACAAGAGACUGAAGAAAAUGAAUCACCUGAUGCCAGUAAUACGAAGAGUGGUGGUGAGACCUACAAGAAGCCUGAUACAAAUGGAGAUGAGGAAACCAACUCAAAACUUGAGAUGCCUCCACUCUCAUCUUGCAUGCUUAGUGUGGGGGCAAAUGAGUCAGAUGAGGAUGUUAUCGAGCUGUGUUCAUUCCAAGCAAAGACAGGAAAUUCUGUUAUUGGAUCCCAAAUUGUGUUCAAACCUGCACCUGUUCAAGGCAACGCAAGCAGAAGCACUUAUCCAAGUUCGAAGGUAGAUAUGCUGAACAAGCUGAAGGAGGCCAUCAAGGUACUUGAAGAGCCUACGCUUCAGGAUUGCAAUUUGUUUACUGAGAAAGAAAAGAGCUGGCUGACAUCUCUAUUACAUCGGGUCGAAAAGGAUGCCCGGGUUUCAGAAGCACGCAAGAGAGACGAACAAUGUUCAGGUGGUCGGAAUGUGGUGGUUGCUAAAAUAAAAACAGAGCCUGGAGUUUCAACUGACACCUUGCCUAUAAAACCAUACCAGCGGGAUACUGAACAAGGUUCAAGUGGUCUGAACAUGGUGGAUGCUGGCAAAGUUCAAGGAAAGUCACUGGAAGUAAACAGAAACAUUAAAAUAAAAACAGAGCCCGGAAUUUCACCCGACACCGUGGCUCUAAAAGCAUACCAAGAGGUCCCUCAACAAGUUUCAAGCAGUUUCAACACAACAUAUGCAGACAAGGUUCACCUCAAAUCAUCACAUGAUCACAGCAGAGGAGUUAACGCAAAAACAAGACCUGAACCUGAAUCUCUGCACCACUCGGUGCCCAGUGCCAAGAAUGAGGAUACAACUGUGCAACAAGAGAGUAUCUCUCAUAAACCUCUCCGUCGUAUCGUGAUCACUUCAGAUGAGCUUCCAUCACUCAGCUCUGAUGAAGUGAAAAAUGGACUUGAGGCAUUCCUCGUUAAGAACAACAUAUCCAACAAUUUUUCCAAAGAUGAAAUUAUCAAGCUGCACUGGGAUGGAAAAGACGUGAGCACAUUUCACUUUCGAGAUAUAGAUAGUGAGGAGCUGCAGCAGCCACCCAUAGGGACCGUAAAGACGAACAGACCUUCUAUUCUCAGGCCUGUGAAGGUGCCUCAACCUGCAGGGGGUAUUGGCACUGAACCUUUUACGACUGCUACGGAGACGAACAGCAAAGAAACAGUUUCUGAACCUGUGCUUUCUCAGGCUGAGAAAGUUGUGGAAGAGUUGAUGGUCCCCAUCGAUGGGUCUGCAGUGCCAGCCGGCUUUAAGGCAGUCAAGCUCAACUGCCGCACAGAUACUGGAGAGGUGGUGCAGCGUGUUGUCUUGAAGUCAAUGAAGCCUAUUCGUGUCAUUAACAGUACCACACAUCCUGAAAAGCAGAUUGGCUUCUUGCCUCGUGUAAUUCGAUUCAUAAAGCAAACCGGCGAAAUUACCGAUAAGCCUGUGAACCCACAUCAACAGAUUAUGCCAUUUCUGGCAUCUGCACAGGCUGCGAAUAAGUCUACGCCUGUAUGCACUGCAAAUGUGCCCAUCCAGAGCACACCAAGAACCUAUAGUUCAAGGCUGACCAGCCUCAUUAAAUCACCUGCUGCUGCUGCUGCUGCUAUAGUUCCUGCAGAAUCAGUCAAGCACUUCCUGUCUAAAAUGGUAACCAACACUAUGGCCUCCAAUUCACUAAUCAAGCAACCAAAACUCAUUGCUCUCUCAUCAGCACCAACAGCGGGCUGCCCUGGCAGCACCAUGCCUAUUACAGCUUCGAAAGUAGUUAGAGUCAAGCGCACACCUUCAGUGCCACUUGGGCCUCAGAGUUCACAGGCUGUUCUACCUGAAAGCGCAGUGCGUUUGCAGGCUGACCUUGCACCACCAAUAGCAUCAAAGCCCGAGUCCUCUGCUGAAGCUGAGGUUGCAGAGAGGAUAUUUGAGCCAGAAUGCCUGCUUGAGGAGAGCAACAAUACAUUGGAAGUUGCACCAUUAAAGACAGGAGGACUGAAUGACGACAGUUUGUCUGACACCUCCAGCACGAGCAGCUCAGAUGCUAGUGGUGACUUUGUUCCGCCAGUUGUAAAUAGAAAAAAGGAGCAGCCGCCAGCACCGAAGCGUUCGCCCCCCAAAAGAUCGACUGUAUUACGGGAAUACAGAACACGCAGGCGAAAGAGGCAGUGCAGAAAACAAGACCCCCGUGUGGUAGCCCCAAGUGCCAAACGCAAUGCAAGCAGCAAGAAUGAUAGUAUAAAUGUGGCCAUGAUGUCGUCAAACUGCAUUGACAGACCAUGUGUUGUGAGCAUGUAUCACCUGAAUGACCAAGUGCUUGCAAACGGCUUUGUGAACCUGACCACUGUCAAGCACGAGGACCUCUUUCUGUUGGCAUCCAGCCCGGUGGUGAGGUUAUCAUCAGACAAGCUGGUCUCGGUGGUUGAACUGAAGCCCCAAGCGUCGGACACUUUGCAGCAGAGUGCAGAGGUGUCCAGCAUUACAGAUACAGACAAUUUGGAGCGGUUGCUUAAGGAACAGCAAAACCAACUGGUACAGCUGCGCAAGAAAUACAAGAAGCUAAGCCCUUAGCUGCCUUAGGUCUAUCUUAAACAGACCAAUGUGUUUGUGCAGGACAAUGAAGCUGCAUCAGAUUUUUUUUUUAAAUUUCCCCCAUACGGCAGUGUCGCAGACUAGCGCCAGCCAAGCUCAGUGUCUUACAUGAGUGACUCGUGUGGUCAACCAUUCGGUCAUGGACCAGAAAUGAGAAGCUCUUCGACGACACGAAGGCCUUGUGGAGAGCAGAAUGCCUCCCAAGUUUUAUGCACACGCUUGUCCCAUCUUUAUCUGUGCGUGGAAUUUUUUAGCGCUUAUCCCCUCUCGGCUUAUCCCCUCCCAUCCGGAAUUGGGUCGAGGCGCUCCAUGAGUGGGGCCACAAUGUUCUGUGCAUGGGAGAGGGGAACACCCCCAUGGCAAACCCCUGACUAUGCUAAUGUCCCGUACAAUUUCUUAUAACACCCCGAGCAAAAUCUGGUACAUAAUCUCUGCAAGUUUAUUAAGUGCACUGUGACCCCAUGAAGUUGCCACGUUAUAGAAAAUUCGACUUGGAUUUGCCGUUGUGUAAAAUAUGAGACGUGGCUGUGCAAGUAGCAUAUUCUUGAAUAGGAGUGUUUAAUAAAAGCGUGUGUAAGUGGUGUAUUUUUGGAAACAGUACAUCGGUCACAUCUACAGUGGCAGGUUCAUAUACACUCGUUGCGGAAAUGUUGCGGGUUGCAUUGGUUUUGUUGAUGCAGUGUGUGUGCUGGUUUUAUCUGCAUGGAUAAUAGAGAGUUUUACAUUAGGGGGACGCAAGCGUUUUAGUAUAUUGCGUACGCUAUGAAAUAGCGGGUCAUCACUGCGCAUGCGCAGAACGCUAUCCGACCGAUAGCGCAUAGCGUACGCAAUAUAACUUAUUGCGUACGCAUGGCGUACGCAAUUUACCGUCUUUGCGCGAUUUGCGUAGUUUACGUAAAACAUGGCGGCGGUCCCCGCUGCCCGCUUCGAAUUGAAUUUGGCGUGGCUUUGUAGAAUUCGCUUCUUUCGUAGCAAAUGACUGCG
This is an RNA transcript of Dermacentor silvarum, 4933 nucleotides long. It is a transcript of the gene named mucin-17-like, with no coding region annotated. NCBI's taxonomy places the organism in Eukaryota, Metazoa, Arthropoda, Arachnida, Ixodida, Ixodidae. The transcript is spliced from 3 exons. The record is from RefSeq and is a predicted model, not a curated record.